UGAGGAAUAUUGGUCAAUGGAUGGAAAUCUGAACCAGCCAAGUAGCGUGCAGGAUGACGGCCCUAUGGGUUGUAAACUGCUUUUAUGUGAGAAUAAAGUUAGGUAUGUAUACUUAUUUGCAUGUAUCACAUGAAUAAGGACCGGCUAAUUCCGUGCCAGCAGCCGCGGUAAUACGGAAGGUCCAGGCGUUAUCCGGAUUUAUUGGGUUUAAAGGGUGCGUAGGCCGUUUGAUAAGCGUGCUGUGAAAUAUAGUGGCUCAACCUCUAUCGUGCAGCGCGAACUGUUGAACUUGAGUGCGUAGUAGGUAGGCGGAAUUCGUGGUGUAGCGGUGAAAUGCUUAGAUAUCACGAAGAACUCCGAUUGCGAAGGCAGCUUACCGUAACGUUACUGACGCUUAAGCACGAAGGUGCGGGUAUCGAACAGGAUUAGAUACCCUGGUAGUCCGCACAGUAAACGAUGGAUGCUCGCUGUUGGCCUUUGUGGUCAGUGGCUUAGCGAAAGCGUUAAGCAUCCCACCUGGGGAGUACGCCGGCAACGGUG
Molecule: ribosomal RNA, 540 nt
Filed under: uncultured bacterium
Lineage: Bacteria
Description: bacterial SSU rRNA
Rfam family: Bacterial small subunit ribosomal RNA
Source: RNAcentral